GCACUGCUGACGAGUCCCAAACAAGACGAAAUAGCUGUUCAAUGC
Non-coding RNA from Echinostoma caproni, 45 nucleotides. Lineage: Eukaryota; Metazoa; Platyhelminthes; Trematoda; Plagiorchiida; Echinostomatidae. The record is from Rfam.